GAUGAACGCUGGCGGCGUGCCUAAUACAUGCAAGUCGAGCGAACGGAUAAGGAGCUUGCUCCUUUGACGUUAGCGGCGUACGGGUGAGUAACACGUGGGUAACCUACCUAUAAGACUGGGAUAACUUCGGGAAACCGGAGCUAAUACCGGAUAACAUUUGGAACCGCAUGGUUCUAAAGUGAAAGAUGGUUUUGCUAUCACUUAUAGAUGGACCCGCGCCGUAUUAGCUAGUUGGUAAGGUAACGGCUUACCAAGGCGACGAUACGUAGCCGACCUGAGAGGGUGAUCGGCCACACUGGAACUGAGACACGGUCCAGACUCCUACGGGAGGCAGCAGUAGGGAAUCUUCCGCAAUGGGCGAAAGCCUGACGGAGCAACGCCGCGUGAGUGAUGAAGGGUUUCGGCUCGUAAAACUCUGUUAUUAGGGAAGAAAAAAUGUGUAAGUAACUGUGCACGUAUUGACGGUACCUAAUCAGAAAGCCACGGCUAACUACGUG
RNAcentral lists this ribosomal RNA (497 nucleotides) under uncultured bacterium. RNAcentral describes it as "partial 16S ribosomal RNA". It matches the Rfam family "Bacterial small subunit ribosomal RNA", at positions 28 to 507 of the family's 1533-position model. The record is from RNAcentral.